UUUGUGUUGUUCCGUUUUCAGUUGAUCAGUAGUGGAGCCCAGUCGGGACGAUCGGGGAUCUGUGUAGCAUUUGGGGUAGUCUUCUUUUAUUUUGGGUUCCGUAGUCGGACCUUGAUUGUAUCUGGUUGUUGUAAUGCUUUAUUCAUGUAUUGUGUGAAGUGGCGAUUAUAAGCCAACUAUGUAUCUCUUUCCCUUAUGUAUUACAUGGGUUGUGUGAAGAUUACCUCAAUUGCGACAUUGCUUUCAAUGCGGUUAUGCCUCUAAGUCGUGCUUCGACACGUGGGAGAUAUAGCCGCAUCGAGGGCGUUUCAAGUUGGUAUCAGAGCCUUCCCCAACCUUAGGAGCCCCAUUGUUUGAUCGAAUUAGCGGACGAGUUGAGUCUAGAAAAAUGUUUUGAGUCAUUUAGGAAUUAUAUAUCGGAGAGUUUAGGAAUUCUUUUUACUCCCCAGUCCGUUCAUCGCUCUGGUAAGUCAUCCUGACGUAGAGUCUUGACUCUUCUCUUCUCAAAUUUCACUAAAAAAAUUUAGGAUCACGCGGGUAUCUUGGAAUUGUUCCGAUCGAUUUGUGACGAGAAUAUUGUUCUUGGUGCCUCCUGUCAUUUAGGGGUUGUUGCAGUGUCCCGGGGAGUUGAGCUCCGAGGUGUUGUGGUCACAAUUUUAUGAUUGCAGUCCUGGAAUACCUGAGUUUAGUUUCGCCGACAUCAAAAAUCUCUUUUAUGCAGUUGUUGGUGAGAUAACCUCGACGCCACCCAGUACUGGGGCGGGAGUUCGGGAGUAUUGCCAUAACUCGUAUAACGGAUGCUUUUCGAAAGGUUGAGGUAGAUGAUUUCCGAAGGUUUCUUGGUUAUGUGUUGAAGGAUGGAUACAGCUGGAUGUAGAAUUUGCUAGUUUUGGGGUGAGAUAUUAUGCUUCCCCUGUAUACCCAACACCUGAUUGCAUAACCGGAAAGUUUCGAGAGUUUAUAAGUGGGAAUUCAAGUAGCUCUUAGGAUAUCUUUUCGACAGAUGUAUGAUAUGAAAUUGGGGUUCGACGUCUAGUGGUCCGCCUAUUCACGGUCGGUUUUACAGUGGUCUCGUUGUGUCUUAAAGAGUCCUUGGCUAUGCCGACUCGGGGAUGCUUCGUAUGUCAUGUGCACUGCCUUGUACAUGAUGGUGCUGUACGAUCGAGCCCGUGUAGGCCCCACCAUGAAAACUUCGGGCGAAAUCUCUAUCAUAUGUUUGUUCCGGCUUAUUCUGCAAGCCAAUCCUCUGUUUUGUUUUGAGUUGUGGUAUCCGAGUUGCUUCGAAGUCAAAUGUUGAUUCCAUACCUUCUCUAAACGGUGUUCUCAUAUUCCUAUGGGAAUACUAAUCCUUCAUGAUAAUCGAGAUUGUCAUGCCAAUUUCUUUUCACCGGCGUGUUUCUCUUCAAGUGGAUCCGAUCAUUUCAACAACCGCAAGAUCAAGUAUCAGUUCUUCUCAACGGUGUUUGUUUCAUCCGUCUCCAAGUUGCCUUUGUUUUCCCGCGCACCCACCCUUUUUCCUCAAGGACUCGGAUUUCUUAAUCAAGUAUCCUUUUAUUCUUGUGAAGUCUCUCCAUCCUUUUCCGUCAAUAUUCUUAUCCGGUGAUUCUCAUGAAGAUCCUAACGGAGCUUCAAGUUAUCAUUCUUUGUUUCUUCUCCUCUCCGGUGGAUUCAAGUCAAGAUUUGUCGAUUAUAUCCCCUUUCCUCAUUUCAAAUACCUUCUCUUGACGGUGCUACUCAUAUUUAUUCAUUUCUCGCUAUUCAAUUGUUCCGGAGUGCUGAAGAUGUCUCGAAGAUUCGUGUAUCCACUCUUAAUCCGUUCAAGCUAUUUUGAGGAUGUUAUCUAAUUCAAACCAUUUAACUCAACCGGUGUUUUCUCUUUUAAAUAGUUCAACGGUGUAUCUUUUCAGUGGGCCCUAACCCACAGGUCUUUUCCAGAAUCUUACCUGGCUCUUCUUAUUUUCCCGGAGUUACUCUCAAAUUCUUUUUGCAAGUUUGACGUAAGAAUGAGUUCUCAUCAGUCAAAUGCCUUUCUCUAAUAUCUCUCAAAUUCUUUUCAUCGUUGGCUCAACCUAUUCGUUUUGAUUCUUCCAGAGUGUAUAAACGAUUCAUGGUGGUGUUUCUCGUCGUAAUUCUCAGAUUUUGAAGACCGAAGAAGAAUUUUCUCCAUAUCUUGCUCCACUCUCUUCAAUAUUCGUGAUUCUAGCUUGUUGCCAUCCUCUCAUAAUUAUUUUUCGAUUGUGAGAAUUCUUUUCACCCAUCCGGAGCAUUUCAUGAGUUGUUUUCCAUUUCUUUUCCCCGAAGCCCAUCAUUUAAGAAGACUUAUUCAUACUCAGCUUUCAACUAUCAUUCUCCAAUUUUACCGGUGCUUCGUUCAAGUGAUCUUUAAUCGGCUCGUGAUCUCUUUGUUCUCAUGUAUCUAAAUCCUCUCAAGCAUCUUUGUUCAUUUUCUAAUUCUUCCCGGUGUUUCUCUAUCUUUUCUUCGUGCAUUUCCAAUUAAUCCGGUGGUUCGUUUAAGAUCUUUUCCUUGGUUAUCACAUCAAUUCAUUCGUUCUUCCAAACCCUUCCGAUGGUUCGUUCAAUACCUUUCCAAGUUGGCGCGAUAUCUAUCUUAAUCUUUCUACGAGGAUAAGUAGUAUGUCAAAUCCAUUGCUUGUCAUCAAUUUGAAUUGGUUAAGGAUAAGCAUAAUGUAAUUCUUAUUAUUGUUUCAUCCAAGUGAUUUAAUUCCUUAUUCCGGAGGUUCAUCAAAAUUCUUGAUUUCAUUUGUUUCAUCUUUUCUUUUCCGGAGUUCCAAGUUUUUCUGCAUUAUAUCGUCGCGAAGCUCCAUCUAAAUCAUUGCAAGGCUUCAACCUUAUUCUUUUCAUCCUUCAUUUCGUUUGAUCAUUCUUUUGUUACCGGAGUUCUUCAUGAAUUUUCUACAUGAUGGUUCAUCAAGGAUUUUAUCCCUUCUCGAAGUUUUCAUCGAGAUUCUUUUCUAAGGAGAUCAAGUAUUCUUCAUCUUGCAAUCCGGAGUGCAAUUCUUUCUUCCGUAUCAAUAGAGGUGGUAUUAUGUCAUUCUUGAUAAUUUGAGUUCAUGUUCCAUGAUUCACAUGUUGUUAAGAAUGAGAUAUUUUAAAUCCAUCAAUUUUGCCAUUGGAGUUAUCUUGGGUUAUAUUUCACCUAAAGCUUUCCCUAAGGAUUGUGGCUAUUUAUGGUGCUUAUGAAUGAUCCAAUUUCUUCAUUUUUCCUUUCCGGUGCGAUAUACUUUCUCGUCAAUGUGCUCAUAUCAAUCCAAUUCUUUUCCCGUGAGUGGCAAGUUGUCACCUCAUAAUUUGAGAUGUAUUCCAUAAGACCAUAUCAAGCUUAUUUUUUUCGUUGUUGAUAAUCCAACAACUCCAUUCCAGCAUUUGUUGUAAGCAUGCUCUCUCAAGAUCUUGUUCCUCUCCGUCCAUCCCAUUCCGUUCUUUCAUUUCUUCCGGAGGCUUUGUGAUGUUGCUAUUUUCAAUCAUCAUCUCGAAUUGUGAAGAUCAUGAUCUUUUCAUGCUUAUCCUUUUAACCGGAGUAGGUUCAAUAUAAAUCUUGCCCUUCAACCUCAAGGUUUUCGCAAUGUUCUUUGUCCCUCUUUUCUAACGGAGUGUUUUCGACUUUGUUCACCUUCCUUGUAUUUUUAUUUUUCUCGAAUUUGUUCAACCUGGCAAGGUUCUUUGGUUUCACUCGUUUGUCAAAGGAGCGACUUAGUCUUACCUCUUCUCUUUCUCUUUCGUUGUCCCUCCGGUGCCAUUCUAAAUCUCGGGAUGAGAUCCUCUCGUAGUGGUGGAGUGUUGUAACGCCCCGAGACCGAUGCGCCAGGUGUCCUCUAGUUAUUCGCUGCUGUUGCCUUGUCAUUGCUUGCGUGUCAUGCAUUGCAUAUCAUAUCAUCAUGUGCAUUGUCAUAUUCAUGCAUGUUGUAUUGUUGCAUGCUCCAUGUGUGGUUCUUGCACCAUCACUCCUCCUUCCUUUCCUUUCUUCCAUUUCUGCAAGUGCCAUUUUCCCUUCUCUUUUGAUGUUCAUCUUUUCCCCAAUAUUCUAACACCAUGUACCUAGCCUCUCUGUCAAAUUUCAUCUCUAUUGGAAUUGUUUUCUUUAGGGUUUAAAAUGGUUCAAGUUUGAAUUUAAUUCAAACUUGAAUUAUUUUUACUUCCUUUAAAAAUCUCCAAACCAAUUUUGUUAAAUAGAGCACAUUUUCAGGAUCAUGAGAAUAUUUUUUUAUAUUUCUCUAGCUCCUCUCCUUUUCCCCUGCUCUUUCCUUUUUGUAUUUCUAUCUAAAGAAAUGGAAAAGAAAAGAAAGAGGUAGAAGCAGUACACCAGGCCAGCCCAGCCCGCCAACCACCUCCCACUCUGGUAAUUCCACCUCCACGUAGCAUAUUUUUUACCCUGGGCCCGCCUGUCAACCUCUCUUCCCUCACCUUUUCUUCCUCCUCUCGAUUGCUCUCCUUCUCGCAAUAAAAGAGGGAUGCAGCACGCACAAGGCCACCGUGGCCACCACGGUGCCCAUGCUUCCCCUAUAAAGCCAGCGCUUCGCCCCUAGGGUUUCCCUUCUUUCCCUCUCCUCCCUUUGCCGCCGCCGCAGGUGAGCCACCCAACAUAGUCGACGACUCUUCCACCAGAGAGCUCCCGGAGCAGUUCCAUGGCUCCGCCGCGGCCAUAGCCCUCUUCCGCCACUGUCUUCGCUCCUGGUCGGCUCGCCUACGUCGUCUACUUUGUCUUCAAUCAAGGCCAGGAGCUGGAAGAACCCAAGGCCGACGCGAUCGACUCCCUCCAGGCCUCCACGACGUCAUCUUCCUCCGCUUCAUCUUCUUCAUGGUCUAGAGUAGCGCCAAGUUCAGCGAGCCCCGUCAUCCCUCCGUCCAUCUCUCGCCGAGCCGAUCACCCGAGCGUGUUCGUGGUGAGCAUGCGCACCUUCCCAGUCAUUGUUUCCCCUCGAUUGCAUCCUGUUACGCGUGUUCCAUGUGAUUCCCGAGCUCGACUUCGUCGGACCUCGUCACCGGCGAGGAGUCCGGCCUCUUUCCGUCUCGAGCCCGACGUAGUAGGUUCCGCCUGUCGCGUAGGGCUCAUCCAGCUUAGAUUCGCGCCACUUCGACCUGUGUUUCUUCGAGUUCAAGUAUGGCCUCGCCGCCUCUGUUUCCUCAACGCCGGCGACGCUUCCAUCGUCACUUGGUGCUGUGCGAGACAUGCGGGAGUUUGGGUCCCCGUUGCGGUUCAUUUGCGCACCUCAGUCGUAGCUUUUGGUCGCCGGAGUUUCCUCCGACGAGCUCCUUCGCCAUCCCGCUCGCAUGCGCCGGAGGCUCCCUUGUUUUCUCUGCUCCUCGCUUGCGCACACGCCCACGCGCAUCUUCUCUGAACCAGCCGGCAACCAUGGCCGUAGCCAUGUCUAGCUAGUCCGGCCUCACGCGAGCCCCUGCAUGCAUCGCAACCUCACCAAGAUCCGCACCCCCGCCGCCGCUCUCUAGCCUCAACCGUCGCUGCUUUGCUCGCCAUCGUCGCCGGCGAUCUCCGUGCCACCAUGGAGGGCCAAGGUCCGCCUUUCUUGGUGGUCUUAUGACGUUUAUCUGCAUCUAUGCCAAACACACAGCAGUAGCGCAGUGGAUCAGACCACAGACUUCUACCAGGGAGACCCGGCUUCGAACCCACCCCAUCAGGGACAUUUAGCCCCCUCAAUUUUUGCCUUUGUUGCCUCUAUGACAGUGGGACCCCACUCGUCAUCCUCUCUAUCCACACACACACCCCUUUCCACAGCCACUUGGGUCGCUGCACUGUUUUGCUUCUCGACCGCGUAUGUGUUUUUUUUCUGCUCUGUGAUUUUAGCAUUUUCCAGUGCAUAUAUAUAUUUACAGGAAAUGCCACUUCUUUAAGAUGCUAAUAACCAAAUAUCCAUGCACCUAAAUAAAACAUUUCAUAUAUGUAAAAUGCCUAGAAUUUUGUCUAGUUUCAUAAUAUGCAACUUUUAUCUAUGUUUAAAAUGCUGUUUGUGUAUUUUUUUGUCCAUAUGCCAUGCUAAAAUGCUUUAUUUCAUAACUAAAUAACCGUAACUCAGAAUUUCAUAAACUUUAUAUGUAAUUGGGGUGGAAAAAUGCCUAGUUUAUCAUGAUGGCUUUACUUUGUAUGUUUAAUAACUCUAAAAUUGUGUUUAGGACAGAUCAGUACCAAACCUAAUAUAUACAUAUGGGGAUUUACCGGAAUUGUUGUUCGUUGCUUCCGGCCUCAUUUAAACUUGCCUAGAUAGGUAGUUUUCAUUUGCUUCACUCUCUUGCCAUGUUUAACAACAUUUAAUAUUGUUGAGUACAUAAACGAGAUUGAACUAAAUAACCAAAUGUGGUGUUUCGUCAAUAUGCAACGGAGUUGCAUAAUGAGCUCCACUUAAUUUGUAGGAUUGUUUGUGCACUUUGCCAUGCCAUGCUUCAUUAAACCGGACAUGCAUCAUACUUGUUUGUGCAUCAUGCCAUGUUGAUGUGUUGGUUGUUUACUAUGUUGCUUGCUUCUUUCCGGUGUUGCUUCUUCUCGGUAUUCUGGUAACGUCACGUUUGUGAGGAUUCGUUCAACUACGUCUGUUUGUCUUCUUCAUGGACGCGUUCUUCUUCCUUGCGGGAUUUCGGGCAAGAUGACCAUACCCUCGAAAUCACUUCUAUCUUUGCUUGCUAGAUGCUCGCUCUUUUGCUAUGCCUAUGCUGCGAUACCUACCACUUGCUUAUCAUGCCUCCCAUAUUGUGAACCAAGCCUCUAACCCACCUUGUCCUAACAAACCGUUGUUUGGCUAUGUUACCGCUUUGCUCAGCCCCUCUUAUAGCGUUGUUAGUUGCAGGUGAAGAUUGAAGUUUGUUCCUUGUUGGAACAUGGAGAUGUUGUUCCUUGUUGGAACAUAUUUACUUGUUGGGAUAUGACAAUUUAUCUUAUUUAAUUAAUGCAUCUAUAUACUUGGUAAAGGGUGGAAGGCUCGGCCGUAUGCCUGGUGUUUUGUUCCACUCUUGCCGCCCUAGUUUCUGUCAUAUCAGUGUUAUGUUCCCGGAUUGUGCGUUCCUUACGCGGUUGGGUAAUAAUGGGAACCCCUUGACAGUUCGCCUUGAGUAAAACUCUUCCAGCAAUGCCUAACAUUGGUUUUACCAUUUGCCACCUAGCCUUUUCUUUCCCUUGGGUUCUGCAGACUCAAGGGUCAUCAUUAUUUUAACCCCCCCGGGCCAGUGCUCCUCUGAGUGUUGGUCCACCUGUCAGCUACUGGUGGCCACCAGGGGCAACUCUGGGCUGGCCUACUCGUACCUAAGACAAUCUGAGUGUGCCCUGAGAACGAGAUAUGUGCAGCUCCUAUCGGGAUUUGUCGGCACAUUCGGGCGGUGUUGCUGGUUUAGUUUUACCUUGUCGAAAUGUCUUGUAACCGGGAUUCCGGGUCUUUCCGCUAGAAGGAAUAUCCUUCGUUGACCGUGAGAGCUUGUGAUGGGCUAAGUUGGGACACCCCUGCAGGGAUUUGAACUUUUGAAAGCCGUGCCCACGGUUAUGGGCAGAUGAGAAUUUGUUAAUGUCCGGUUGUAGAAAACCUGAAGUUGACCUUAAUUAAAAUGCAACAACCGCGUGUGUAACCGUGAUGGUCUCUUCUCGGCGGAGUCCGGAAAGUGAACACAGUGUUGGAGUUAUGUUUGACGUAGGUUGUUCUAGGAUCACUUCUUGAUCAUAGUUUCUCGAUCGUGCUUUGCCUUCUCUUCUCGCUCUCUUUUGCGAAUAUGUUAGCCACCAUAUAUGCUAGUCGCUUUCUGCAGCUCCACCUCAUACCUUUACCUUACCCAUAAGCUUAAAAAGUCUUGAUCGCGAGGGUGCGAGAUUGCUGAGUUCCCGUGACUCACAGUUACUUCCAAAACCAGUUUGCAGGUGCCGAUGUUACCAAGCAGGUGACGCAACCAAGCUCAGGAGGAGCUCGAUGAAGAUCUUGUCCUUUGUGUUGUUCCGUUUUCAGUUGAUCAGUAGUGGAGCCCAGUCGGGACGAUCGGGGAUCUGUGUAGCAUUUGGGAUAGUCUUCUUUUAUUUGGGUUCCGUAGUCGGACCUUGAUUGUAUCUGGUUGUUGUAAUGCUUUAUUCAUGUAUUGUGUGAAGUGGCGAUUGUAAGCCAACUAUGUAUCUCUUUCCCUUAUGUAUUACAUGGGUUGUGUGAAGAU
This 8154-nucleotide long non-coding RNA is filed under the name Triticum aestivum (bread wheat). Its description in RNAcentral is "long non-coding RNA (TAES_LNC005949)". The record is from RNAcentral. Lineage: Eukaryota; Viridiplantae; Streptophyta; Magnoliopsida; Poales; Poaceae.